This 326-nucleotide ribosomal RNA is filed under the name uncultured bacterium. Its description in RNAcentral is "bacterial SSU rRNA". It matches the Rfam family "Bacterial small subunit ribosomal RNA", at positions 162 to 504 of the family's 1533-position model. The record is from RNAcentral.
GCUAAUACCGCAUAAGCUGUGAGUAUCACAUGAUACAAGCAGAAAAGGAGCAAUCCGCUGAUAGAUGAGCUUGCGUCUGAUUAGUUAGUUGGCGAGGUAACGGCCCACCAAGACGAUGAUCAGUAGCCGGACUGAGAGGUUGAACGGCCACAUUGGGACUGAGAUACGGCCCAGACUCCUACGGGAGGCAGCAGUGGGGAAUAUUGCACAAUGGGGGAAACCCUGAUGCAGCAACGCCGCGUGAAGGAAGACGGCUUUCGGAUUGUAAACUUCUGUUCUUAGUGAAGAUAGUGACGGUAGCUAAGGAGCAAGCCACGGCUAACUAC